Long non-coding RNA from Zonotrichia leucophrys gambelii, 1650 nucleotides. RefSeq lists it as uncharacterized. The transcript is spliced from 4 exons. The record is from RefSeq and is a predicted model, not a curated record. Lineage: Eukaryota; Metazoa; Chordata; Aves; Passeriformes; Passerellidae.
GGAGAAUUGGGAGUUUGGUGGUUGUACUGUGAAGAAAGAGUCAUUGCUGUGAGGAGGUGCCCAUGAGAAGUUACUGAGAUGGGCAAGGUGCAGCCGGAGAUGGAGCCCAGCGCAGCACUGAGAGCAGCAGGGGAUGCUGCUUGGUCUGGACCUGACAGAUUUCGACACCUGGAGUACAGAAGAGUAUGACGGAUCCAAGGUUGUUCAGCCUGGAGAGGAGAUGGCUGCAGGGGAGAAUGGAACAUCAGAUCCCCACUGCCUGCAAGGAGACAGACCCAGGCUCUUCAUACCUGUGUGUGGUGAAAGGACAAGAGACAAUGGACAUAUGUUGGAGAAGAAAAGAUUGCGUGGAUAUGAUGAAGAGAAAAUUCCCAACAGGAUAGCAAAAUGGUGGAGCAAAUUGCUAUAAAAGAUUCUAAAGCAAUGGUGAUUUUUAAGACCUGGCUAGAUGUAGCAUGAGCAGAGUUGAGCAGAUCUGACUAAGUAGCUCUAACUUCAGCACAUCUCUUGGUGCAAGAUGGACUAAAAACUUGAUGAGAUAGUUUCAUCUAAAUAUAUGUAGUCAUCUUUAGUGAGAUUUCCUUAAGUUUUUUGUUGUUAUCAUGAUGCCUCUGACCUAAAUUUUGGAUAUAGAGCCAUAUGACCAUAGAAUAAUUCAACUGGGAAACUAUCUCCUAAAAUAUAAUCAAUUUUACAACCUCUCUAAGAUUUUGUAACAUUUUAUGGCAGCUAUAUAGCUGGAAAGAGUGAAAUAAACCUACACCAGUCUGGAGAAACAAGAAAUACAGCCUUGGUGGACUAAUAUUUGUGCAAAUGCAGUGACAAAAGAUUAAUUUAAGCAUUAGACUAAAUUAAAAAUUUUUGUGCUUGACAUUGUCCUCGCUUUCUCAUCUUCCCUUAAAAGGAAAACAAAUUAUGCUGGUUUGUGUAUUUGCUUGCUUGAUUGUUCGAUUUGUUGUUUUUUCCCCCCCCAGGUUACCAAUAGUAUGUUUAAUCAUAGUUCUCAUCUGUCACAGCAUCCUGGAAAGAAGCCUGGACUUGGGAAAGCACUAAAAGCUACUUUUUAGCAUCUUCAAACAAAAGAUAGAGCUUUAGGCAGAGGGCGAGCAUGUAAGGGAGAGACAGCAAGAGAAAACUUUCCCCAUCAGCCAGCGGCUAAAAGAAGUGAUUUGGUAUCCAGAUGAAUAUCCUACCCUGAGCAUCGUCUCCACUGCAGCAGAUCAUCCCUCAAAACAAUUUUUUUCAUAUCUAUAUCAUAACUAUAUCACUUUCAUCAGAAAUUAUUCAAAAUGUCUGUGCUUAGUUUUGCCUGUGAUGUGCCAGUGUUAGCUGCAGCAUGCGUUGAACACGGAAAUAUACUUGCCUUUUAUUGCUAAACUUUCUUCGUAUGUGUACUUGGUCCCUUAGAGUAAAAUACAAGUUAUUGAAAAAAUAAAAAUAGAAAAAGGUCAGCAAUGUUGGCAAAUAAAAGCUAACAAUACUGGCAAAAGAGCUAUCAAUGCAUAGUGCUUUUCCUUAAUGCACACUUCUAUAACACAAUACUUUUCCUUAAGAAAAAUCUUCAGCGGUGUAGGUAUGACAGAAACAACCAGCCCUUUUUUCUCUCCCCUUCCCCCUGCUUUAACAGAAAAUAGUGUUUCCUGUAAAAUA